This 855-nucleotide ribosomal RNA is filed under the name uncultured bacterium. RNAcentral describes it as "bacterial SSU rRNA". It matches the Rfam family "Bacterial small subunit ribosomal RNA", at positions 28 to 896 of the family's 1533-position model. The record is from RNAcentral.
AACGAACGUUGGCGGCAUGGAUUAGGCAUGCAAGUCGAACGAAUGCCGGGGUAGCAAUACCUCGGCGGAAGUGGCGAAAGGGGCAGUAAUACAUGAAUAACCUACCCUGGGGUUGGGCAUAGCCAUUCUAACGGACGGGUAAUUCCCAGCGAUUCGGCGGUGCCGGCAUCGGUACACCGGGAAAGAAUUUCGCCUCGGGAGGGGUUCAUGAGCUAUCAGCUAGUUGGCGGGGUAACGGCCCACCAAGGCGUAGACGGCUAGCGGGUGUGAGAGCACGACCCGCGCCACUGGCACUGAGACACUGGCCAGACACCUACGGGUGGCUGCAGUCGAGGAUCUUCGUCAAUGGGCGCAAGCCUGAACGAGCGAUGCCGCGUGAGCGAUGAAGGCCUUCGGGUUGUAAAGCUCAAAAGGGAUGAGAAAGGGAAACUUGAUCGAAUCCCAGUAAGCUCGGGCUAAGUUCGUGCCAGCAGCCGCGGUAAGACGAACCGAGCGAACGUUGUUCGGAAUCACUGGGCUUAAAGGGCGCGUAGGCGGGUUCGCAAGUCUGUGGUGAAAUCCUCCGGCUCAACCGGAGAACUGCCUCGGAUACUGCGGGUCUCGAGGGUGAUAGGGGUAUGCGGAACUAUCGGUGGAGCGGUGAAAUGCGUUGAUAUCGAUAGGAACUCCGGUGGCGAAGGCGGCAUACUGGAUCACUUCUGACGCUGAGGCGCGAAAGCCAGGGGAGCAAACGGGAUUAGAUACCCCGGUAGUCCUGGCCCUAAACGAUGGGUACUAGCUAGUAGGGUUCACAUGGCUUUACUGGCGAAGCAAAAGUGCUAAGUACCCCGCCUGGGGAGUAUGGUCGCAAGGCUG